AUGUGUAGAGAUAGGAUUAGGAAUGCUGAGGCACAGAUGGAGCUGAACUUGGUGAGGGAUGUGAAAGAUAACAAGAAGGAGAGUGUUCCCCCUCUGAUAAAAGGUGAUGGAGAGCUGGCUUCCUCAGACAUACAAAAAGCUGAGGUACUCAACGAGAGCUUUGCUUCAGUCUACACCGGUGCUCAGGCUUCCCUUGUCUGCCAGGACCCUGAACCUCUAAGUGAUGGUGUGGGGAGCAGAUUUGGUCCCACUGAAACAAUGGAACAAGUCCAAGACCUCCUCAUGCAACUGAAUGUAUACAAGUCCAUGGGGCCGCAUGAUAUCCAUAGAAGCUAUGUUAAGGCACAUAUGAGACAAAGAGGUGAUCCAAGGGAGCCAGCAGGGCUUCACCAAGGGAAGAUCUUGCCUACCAAUCCAGAGGCCUUGUGUGAUGGAGUGACGGCAUCGGUGGAUGGGGGAAGGGUAACAGAUGUCAUCUACCUGGACUUCUGAAAAGCCUUUGACAUGGUCCCUCACCACAUCCUUCUCUCUAAAUUGGAGAGGUAUGGAUUUGAAGGAUGGACUGCUCACAGGUGGAUUAAGAAUUGGUUGGCUGGUUGCAGUCAAAGGGUUGUGAUCAAUGGUUCUGCGUCAGGGUGGAGGCCGGUCACAAGCGGUGUCCCUCAGGGGUCGGUCUUGGGACCAGUGCACUUCAACAUCUUUAUCAAUGACAUAGACGAUGGAAUCCAGUGCACCCACAGCAAGUUUGCACACGAUACCAGGCUGAGCGGUGUGGUCGAUACAGUAGGGGGAAGGGAAGCCAUGCAGAGGGACCUGGAAAGGAUGGAGAAGUGGGCCCACAAGAACCUAAUGAGGUUCAUCAAGGCCAAAUGCAAGGUGCUGCAAGAUGAUCAGAGAGCUGGAGCACCUCUCCUAUGAAGAAAGGUUGAGGGAACUGGGCUUAUACAGCUUGGAGAAGAGAAGGCUCCAGGGAAACCUCAUUGUGGCCUUCCAAUACUUGAAGGGAGCGUAUAAACAGGCAGGGGAACGAUUGUGUACGAGGACGGAGAGCGAUAGGACAAGGGGGAAUAGUUUUAAACUAAGACGGGGGAGGCUUAGGUUAGAUAUUAGGAGGAAGUUUUUCACUGACAGGGUGGUGAUGCACUGGAACGGGUCGCCCAGAGAGGCUGUGGAUGCCCUGUCCCUGGAAGCAUUCAAGGCCAGGCUGGAAGUGGCUCUGCGCAGCCCGGUCUGGUGGCUGGUGACCCUGCGCACAGCAGGGGGGUUGAAACUCAAUGAUCUUGGAGGUCCUUUUCAACCCACACCAUUCUAUGAUUCUAUGAUCCUACAAUUCUGUACGGUCAUGUUUAUUCCAACUGGUCUUUAAGGAUAUCUGGAAGUCUUUUCCAUAAAUACCA
This 1397-nucleotide long non-coding RNA is filed under the name Numida meleagris (helmeted guineafowl). RNAcentral's name for it is "lncRNA (ENSNMEG00000004967.1)". The record is from RNAcentral. Lineage: Eukaryota; Metazoa; Chordata; Aves; Galliformes; Numididae.